GGUCCAACUACCGUUUCCUUCGAUGAAAAAGGCAAUAGGUAGCUCUGUCAAACCCCGUGGAAACGCAAACU
Molecule: transfer RNA, 71 nt
Filed under: Saccharomyces cerevisiae P283
Lineage: Eukaryota; Fungi; Ascomycota; Saccharomycetes; Saccharomycetales; Saccharomycetaceae
Description: tRNA-Gly
Source: RNAcentral